GAUGAACGCUGGCGGCGUGCCUAACACAUGCAAGUCGAGCGAAAGGACGAGAAGUUUGCUUCUCUGAUGUUAGCGGCGGGCGGGUGAGUACCACGAGGAUACCUUGCCUAUAAGACUGGGAUCAGUUAGGGGGACCGAAGCUAAUAUCGGAUCAUAGUUAGAAAGUCGGGGUUCAAAAGUGAAAGACGGUUUUGAUGACCCUUAUACGUAGAUGCUAGCUGCAUUGGUUAGUUGGUACGGUAACGGCAUACCGAGGCGACGAUGCGUAGCCGACCUGAGAGGGUGAUCGGCCACACUGGAACUGAGACACGGUCCAGACUCCUACGGGAGGCAGCAGUAGGGAAUCUUGCGCAAUGGGCGAAAGCCUGACGGAGCAACGCCGCGUGAGUGAAGAAGGUCUUCGGAUCGUAAAACUCUGUUAGUAGGGAAGAACGGAUGUAUGAGUAACUGUGCAUAUCUUGACGGUACCUACAGAAUAAGCAACGGCUAACUACGUG
This 497-nucleotide ribosomal RNA is filed under the name uncultured bacterium. RNAcentral describes it as "partial 16S ribosomal RNA". It matches the Rfam family "Bacterial small subunit ribosomal RNA", at positions 28 to 507 of the family's 1533-position model. The record is from RNAcentral.